UAACCUACGGGGGGCAGCAGUGAGGAAUAUUGGUCAAUGGCCGCAGGGCUGAACCAGCCAAGUCGCGUGAGGGAUGACGGUCCUAUGGAUUGUAAACCUCUUUUGUCAGGGAGCAAAGGGCGCCACGUGUGGCGCUUUGCGAGUACCUGAAGAAAAAGCAUCGGCUAACUCCGUGCCAGCAGCCGCGGUAAUACGUAGGGGGCGAGCGUUAUCCGGAUUUACUGGGUGUAAAGGGAGCGUAGACGGUUCUGCAAGUCUGAAGUGAAAGCCCGUGGCUUAACCGCGGAACGGCUUUGGAAACUGGG
This 305-nucleotide ribosomal RNA is filed under the name uncultured bacterium. RNAcentral describes it as "bacterial SSU rRNA". It matches the Rfam family "Bacterial small subunit ribosomal RNA", at positions 333 to 637 of the family's 1533-position model. The record is from RNAcentral.